AUGAAAUCCUGGUGGCUGCUCCUCUCCCUCCUGGCAGCUCCCCGCUGGGUGCUGUCUGAGAUCCAGCUGACGGAGACUGGCCCAGGAGUGGUGAAGCCCUCAGAGUCCCUCAGACUCUCCUGUGUCGUCUCGGACUUCUCCAUCACUACCAGUGCUUACUACUGGCACUGGAUCCGUCAGUCCCAGGAGAAGGGGCUGGAGUGGAUGGGGUAUAUUGGUUAUCAAGGCAGCACCAACUAUGCCCCUUCUCUCAAGAGUCGAAUCUCCAUCUCCAGAGACACGUCCAAGAAUGAGUUCUCUCUGCAGCUGAACAGCAUGACACCUGCAGACACGGCCGUGCAUUACUGUGCAAGACACACAGUGUGGGGAAGUGAACCUCUCGGAGAGGAGCCCCAGCUCCAUUGUCUGUGUCAUUCCCCUUCUUCCUCCAGAACUGUGCCCAAAGCCCCCACCAUGCAGUCUGCUCUUCCUUUCAUUUCCAUCCUGACCCUGCUCCAAGAAUAUGCCUCAUCGGUGAAAGACCGAUUCACCAUCUCCAGUGAUAAUGGCAACAGCCUACUGCCUCUGCAAAUGAACAGCCUGAAAACCAAGGACACGGCCCUGUAUUAUUGUGUGGCCAUAAACACAGAGAUUAUAACUCUGGUCAUAACAAAGCUCAAUUCCUGUGAAAAACUGAAAAGUUUGCAAUAG
Molecule: non-coding RNA, 690 nt
Organism: Tachyglossus aculeatus (Australian echidna)
Lineage: Eukaryota; Metazoa; Chordata; Mammalia; Monotremata; Tachyglossidae
Source: the annotation of a RefSeq genome assembly